Molecule: ribosomal RNA, 483 nt
Filed under: uncultured bacterium
Lineage: Bacteria
Description: partial 16S ribosomal RNA
Rfam family: Bacterial small subunit ribosomal RNA
Source: RNAcentral
GACGAACGCUGGCGGCGUGCUUAACACAUGCAAGUCGAACGAUGAAGCCGGAGCUUGCUCCGGUGGAUUAGUGGCGAACGGGUGAGUAACACGUGAGCAAUCUGCCCUUGACUCUGGGAUAACUGCGGGAAACUGUAGCUAAUACCGGAUACGACACCUUGGGGCAUCCCAGGGUGUGGAAAGAAUUUCGGUCAAGGAUGAGCUCGCGGCCUAUCAGCUAGUUGGUGAGGUAAUGGCUCACCAAGGCGACGACGGGUAGCCGGCCUGAGAGGGUGACCGGCCACACUGGAACUGAGACACGGUCCAGACUCCUACGGGAGGCAGCGGUGGGGAAUAUUGCACGAUGGGCGAAAGCCUGAUGCAGCAACGCCGCGUGAGGGAUGAAGGCCUUCGGGUUGUAAACCUCUUUUAGCAGGGAAGAAGCGAAAGUGACGGUACCUGCAGAAAAAGCACCGGCUAACUACGUGCCAGCCGCCGCGGUAA